CGAGUAACACGUAUGCAACCUGCCUGCCACAGCCGGAUAAUCGGGAGAAAUUCCGUCUAAUACGGCAUAAUGCAUCGACGGGACAUCCUGUUGGUGCCAAAGGUUGAUUCCGGUGGCGGAUGGGCAUGCGUCGCAUUAGUUAGUUGGCGGUGUAACGGACCACCAAGACGACGAUGCGUAGGGGUUCUGAGAGGAAGGUCCCCCACACUGGUACUGAGACACGGACCAGGCUCCUACGGAAGGCAGCAG
Molecule: ribosomal RNA, 249 nt
Filed under: uncultured bacterium
Lineage: Bacteria
Description: partial 16S ribosomal RNA
Rfam family: Bacterial small subunit ribosomal RNA
Source: RNAcentral